AUCGGAUCUGCUCGUCGGUGUAGUUUUGGGAUAAUUUGAAGUUUUUGGAGAUAAUUAUGUCGCUAUCCAACAACAUUGUGGUGUUUUUCGGCAACGUUUGGGUUGAUUCUUGGUGUUACUUGGGAUGUUGGGAUGAAGAGCUUGUUUGCUUGAAUUAAAUAUUAUAUCUAAAUUUGAGGUAACUUAUUUACUACCUAUUCACCCUCGAACCCUAGAUUGAUGUUAAGAUUGCGAAUAAGCUAAUUGCUUUUUUCUUUUAUGGCGGAAUGUUUUGCUAUGAUAGACUAAUGAAUG
Molecule: non-coding RNA, 294 nt
Organism: Benincasa hispida (wax gourd)
Lineage: Eukaryota; Viridiplantae; Streptophyta; Magnoliopsida; Cucurbitales; Cucurbitaceae
Source: RefSeq, a predicted model, not a curated record